RNAcentral lists this ribosomal RNA (450 nucleotides) under uncultured bacterium. RNAcentral's name for it is "partial 16S ribosomal RNA". It matches the Rfam family "Bacterial small subunit ribosomal RNA", at positions 354 to 796 of the family's 1533-position model. The record is from RNAcentral.
GUGGGGAAUCUUCCGCAAUGGACGAAAGUCUGACGGAGCAACGCCGCGUGAGUGAAGAAGGUUUUCGGAUCGUAAAGCUCUUUCGUUAGGGACGAACGUGCUCUUUGUGAAUAAUGAGGAGUAAUGACGGUACCUAAAUAAGAAGCCACGGCUAACUACGUGCCAGCAGCCGCGGUAAUACGUAGGUGGCAAGCGGUGUCCGGAAUUAUUGGGCGUAAAGCGCGCGCAGGCGGGAUAUCAAGUCUGUCUUAAAAGUGCGAGGCUCAACCUCGUAAGGGGACAGAAACUGGUAUUCUUGGGUGUCGGAGAGGAAAGUGGAAUUCCAAGUGUAGCGGUGAAAUGCGUAGAGAUUUGGAAGAACACCAGUGGCGAAGGCGACUUUCUGGACGAUGUCUGACGCUGAGGCGCGAAAGCUAGGGGAGCGAACGGGAUUAGAAACCCCAGUAGUCC